CCUGGCUUGCAGCAGACCGGCCGCAGCUGGCGAAUCGAAAGGAAGCAGGGACUCCGCAGAUGGCUUGGGACAGAGAAGGCAGUUGCAACAGCAAAACCCUGCAGGCCAGCCCCAUGGCUGAAGAACCCGAGGCACAGAUGGGCAGCGAAGGAGAGGCAGGAGGGCUAGACAAUCAUCUGUCCCCUUUAGGGCAUCCAGGGAGGCCAGCAUGGUGUCUCCGACGUGGGGAAGGAAGCCUCGGGGUCCGUGAUCUCUCUAAUGGAGAAUUCGCCCAGUCAGAGGCUGUUUGCCUGUUAAUACCACCAAUAGCAGAAUGGUCAUUUGUUGAAGGCCUGUGUGACUUCUAACCUCACAUUAACCUUGAUGGGCGGGAGAGAUGGCUAAACCCUGUGUUACACGUGGGGAAAUUGAAAAUUAGAGACGGUGAGUAAUUCCUGCAAGCUCACCAGCAAGCA
This is a long non-coding RNA of Lutra lutra (Eurasian river otter), 455 nucleotides long. RefSeq lists it as uncharacterized. The transcript is spliced from 3 exons. Lineage: Eukaryota; Metazoa; Chordata; Mammalia; Carnivora; Mustelidae. The record is from RefSeq and is a predicted model, not a curated record.